GCGUUCGUGGUGUAGUGGUCAGCACGUUCGGCGUGUAUUCGAGAGAUCUGUGGUUCGAGUCCCGGCGAGGGCA
Stegodyphus mimosarum is the source of this 73-nucleotide non-coding RNA. The record is from Rfam. Lineage: Eukaryota; Metazoa; Arthropoda; Arachnida; Araneae; Eresidae.